CACCAAUAAGGCUUACAACAAAGUUAUAUUUAAGAUAUUUGUAUAUUUUGUUACUCCGUGUUGACCCAAGAACUUAUAUUUUUAUUGACUUCACUGGUUGGAAAGACAAAAAUAUCAUGAUAACCAGAUAUGAAACGUAUUUCUUGCUAUUAUUUGUUCCGAAGCUUAAGAUAUCGCUCCUUAUGGAUUAUUUAAAUUAACAAUAAAGUUGCUGAUCCAUUUAGCCAUGUAUAAUUAAAACUACCACCAGUAACGGUUGAAGAUUUAGUAAACUAAAUUUUGUCUUUAAGCCAAAAACACUUCAAUACGAUGUUCGUCAGCUAUACAAAACAUUUUAAAAAUUUCAUGGGGAUAAUACCGUAUAUACUUUUAAGAUAAAAUUGGUAUUUAACUGGUUAGUCGCGUAAAAGGGUUACAAACCACUUAAUAUACCUUAUUUUUAAUGGUGCAUUUCAAAAUUAGUUUCAUCUAAAGCAAAGGUAUACCGGGUAAAAAUGAUCUUUAUAAAUGGCUUACUAGUUUUGCGUUGUAGUUUU
Molecule: non-coding RNA, 536 nt
Organism: Schizosaccharomyces pombe (fission yeast)
Lineage: Eukaryota; Fungi; Ascomycota; Schizosaccharomycetes; Schizosaccharomycetales; Schizosaccharomycetaceae
Source: the annotation of a GenBank genome assembly